RNAcentral lists this ribosomal RNA (253 nucleotides) under uncultured bacterium. RNAcentral describes it as "partial 16S ribosomal RNA". It matches the Rfam family "Bacterial small subunit ribosomal RNA", at positions 524 to 776 of the family's 1533-position model. The record is from RNAcentral.
UACAGAGGGUGCGAGCGUUAAUCGGAAUUACUGGGCGUAAAGCGCACGUAGGCGGCUUGGCAUGUCGGGUGUGAAAUCCCCGGGCUCAACCUGGGAACUGCAUCCGAAACUGCUUUGCUAGAGUAUGGGAGAGGGAAGUGGAAUUUCCGGUGUAGCGGUGAAAUGCGUAGAUAUCGGAAGGAACAUCAGUGGCGAAGGCGACUUCCUGGACCAAUACUGACGCUCAGGUGCGAAAGCGUGGGGAGCAAACAGG